GGCGAGAUACUCAAGUCUGGCCCAAGAGGCAUGCCUUGAAAGCAUGUGUGCCAUCGCACGCGGGGGUUCAAAUCCCCCUCUCGCCA
Molecule: transfer RNA, 86 nt
Filed under: archaeon
Lineage: Archaea
Also listed under: 3 other names
Description: tRNA-Ser
Rfam family: tRNA
About the family: Transfer RNA (tRNA) molecules are approximately 80 nucleotides in length. Their secondary structure includes four short double-helical elements and three loops (D, anti-codon, and T loops). Further hydrogen bonds mediate the characteristic L-shaped molecular structure. tRNAs have two regions of fundamental functional importance: the anti-codon, which is responsible for specific mRNA codon recognition, and the 3' end, to which the tRNAs corresponding amino acid is attached (by aminoacyl-tRNA synthetases). tRNAs cope with the degeneracy of the genetic code in two manners: having more than one tRNA (with a specific anti-codon) for a particular amino acid; and 'wobble' base-pairing, i.e. permitting non-standard base-pairing at the 3rd anti-codon position.
Source: RNAcentral